CUACGGGCUGCAGCAGUGGGGAAUAUUGCACAAUGGGCGCAAGCCUGAUGCAGCCAUGCCGCGUGUAUGAAGAAGGCCUUCGGGUUGUAAAGUACUUUCAGCGGGGAGGAAGGGAGUAAAGUUAAUACCUUUGCUCAUUGACGUUACCCGCAGAAGAAGCACCGGCUAACUCCGUGCCAGCAGCCGCGGUAAUACGGAGGGUGCAAGCGUUAAUCGGAAUUACUGGGCGUAAAGCGCACGCAGGCGGUUUGUUAAGUCAGAUGUGAAAUCCCCGGGCUCAACCUGGGAACUGCAUCUAAUACUGGCAAGCUUGAGUCUCGUAGAGGGGGGUAGAAUUCCAGGUGUAGCGGUGAAAUGCGUAGAGAUCUGGAGGAAUACCGGUGGCGAAGGCGGCCCCCUGGACGAAGACUGACGCUCAGGUGCGAAAGCGUGGGGAGCAAACAGGAUUAGAUACCCGCGUAGUC
RNAcentral lists this ribosomal RNA (464 nucleotides) under uncultured bacterium. RNAcentral's name for it is "partial 16S ribosomal RNA". It matches the Rfam family "Bacterial small subunit ribosomal RNA", at positions 339 to 795 of the family's 1533-position model. The record is from RNAcentral.